UAUGACCUAACCAGCCAAGCCUAUGCGCUCACCUCACAUGAGCUCCUCCUCCUUGCGGAGGUACUCCCCGGCGUCCGACUGGUGCAGCACGACGACGGCGUUGGUGUCGGCCUUCCUGCAAUCCUGCGCCGACCUCGCCGCAAUGCCGAACCCGAGAGGGACGUCAGCCAUGGACAUGACGACCACCCCGUCCCCGGCCUUGGUGUUCUCGGUGAUGCGAGCGAGAGAAGACUUGGGCACGGAAUUGCCAAAGAGAAAGGAACGCUCGGUGUCGGGUUUGAGCCAGACGCGGCGGCGCGCGUGUGCAGCGAGGAGGUCGAGCGCGUGGACCGUAAGGUGGAACGCGCCGUGGUGGGUGAACUUGCCGAUGGGCGUCCCCACGCCGGCGAGGCGCGGUCGGGACACGGCGGUGGCGCGGCGCACGAGCGCCUCGGAGGCGUAGUAGACGCGAUUGCGGUGAAGCCGGAGGCAGUAGCGGCCGGGCUCCGCGUCGGGGCCCUCCACUGCGGGGCGCUCCAGGAGGUGCUUCAGGUUGGGCCCCGUGAACUUGAACAGCUUCUCGAAUACCUGAGUCGUCUCCUUCUCGUCGAGAGGCCUCAUGGCGCGGCGGCGGCGGAGGCAGAGCUCGGGGCGGAUGGAAGUUUGGUGCUGGCGGGCGGCGGCAGGUUGAUUGGGGAGUGGGGACGGAUGUUAGGGUUUUGAGUUG
This 706-nucleotide unclassified non-coding RNA is filed under the name Zea mays. RNAcentral describes it as "misc RNA Zm00001eb257460". Lineage: Eukaryota; Viridiplantae; Streptophyta; Magnoliopsida; Poales; Poaceae. The record is from RNAcentral.